Molecule: ribosomal RNA, 497 nt
Filed under: uncultured bacterium
Lineage: Bacteria
Description: partial 16S ribosomal RNA
Rfam family: Bacterial small subunit ribosomal RNA
Source: RNAcentral
GAUGAACGCUGGCGGCGUGCCUAAUACAUGCGAGUCGAGCGAACGGACGAGAAGCUUGCUUUUCUGAUGUUAGCGGCGGACGGGUGAGUAACACGUGGAUAACCUACCUAUAAGACUGGGAUAACUUCGGGAACCCGGAGCUAAUACCGGAUAAUAUUUUGAACCGCAUGGUUCAAAAGUGAAAGACGGUCUUGCUGUCACUUAUAGAUGGAUCCGCGCUGCAUUAGCUAGUUGGUAAGGUAACGGCUUACCAAGGCAACGAUGCAUAGCCGACCUGAGAGGGUGAUCGGCCACACUGGAACUGAGACACGGUCCAGACUCCUACGGGAGGCAGCAGUAGGGAAUCUUCCGCAAUGGGCGAAAGCCUGACGGAGCAACGCCGCGUGAGUGAUGAAGGUCUUCGGAUCGUAAAACUCUGUUAUUAGGGAAGAACAUAUGUGUAAGUAACUGUGCACAUCUUGACGGUACCUAAUCAGAAAGCCACGGCUAACUACGUG